This 3567-nucleotide long non-coding RNA is filed under the name Sus scrofa (pig). Its description in RNAcentral is "lncRNA (ENSSSCG00005037700.1)". The record is from RNAcentral. Lineage: Eukaryota; Metazoa; Chordata; Mammalia; Artiodactyla; Suidae.
AGAGAGGUACACGUCUUCUUCGAGCCGCCAAGAACAUGCUACCUUUUAGUCAUUCAUUCAAAGAUUGUUUAUUCACGAGUGGUAGAGAAGAGUUUAGAGACCAGAUGGACAAAUCACUACUUAGGUAACUAAGUCACUUAACUCCUGAGCCUCAGAUUUCCUCAUCUUUAAAAUGGAAAGAGGGAGUUCCCCUUGUGGCGCAGCAGAAAUGAAUCUAACUAGGAUCCAUGAGGACACAGGUUCAGUCCCAGGCCUCGAUCAGUGGGUUAAGGAUUUGGCGUUGCCCUGAGGGGUAGUGUAGGCCAGCAGCUAUAGCUCCAAUUCAUCCCCUAGCCUGGGCCCCUCAGUAUGCCGUGGGUGUGGCCUUGGAGGGGAAAAAAAAAAAAAAAGGCAAAAAUAAAUAAAUAAAUAAAUGAAAUAAAAUAGAAAUAAAACCUUCUUUAUAGAUUGUCCUGAGAAUUAGAUGAAGUGACCAUAAGACAAUGGGUUCUGGGCUCAGAUUUUGCCUUCAUCACUUACUGUGUGACCUUAGGCCAGUUAAGUAAUCUUUUUCAUUCUCCAUUUCCUUUGCUGCAAAAUAGGGUUAAUCAUAAUAUUUUGGGUUAUUGUGACAUUGGGCUAUUGUGAGGAUUAAACCAAAUAAAGCUCGGAAGUGUUUAGUGUAGUGCCUGGCCCAUACUAAGUGCUCAUUAAAUGUUAGCUAUUAAUUACAACAAUAACAGCAAUGACAGUAAUGAUAGUCUUUAGGUGUUUAUUAUGCUAGGACAUCAAGUGGCAGAGGAAAGACUAGAAGGCAUAGUACAGAGUAGUGGCUCUGUAAGCGUUUUUCCUGCCAGCUUUCCUUGUGAGAGGGCCUGUAGGGACCGAGACAGGCUCUCCUUGGGUCCCAGCUUACAGCUUCCUACAGCGAAAGCUUCCCUUCCAGGCUGAGGUAAGAGGUUCAGAGAGACUUUGGGAGAGAGUGGGAGGACCAGUCUGGCAGGGUGGAGGGUUUGGUAAGGGCAGUGAAUGACUCUGGAAGGUAAAACUGGGGCCAGGUCACGGAGGGCCUUGAAUGCCAGGCCAAUUCUUUGUCUUAAGAACCACCCAUUCCCGAACUAAGGGGAGUCUCUCCCUUCCUGUCUUCUGCUUAAGCUUGUAAAAAUGGUAAUACCCUUUCAAAAUGAUAACAUUUACAUUUAAAGAACAACAACAAAACAAACACCCAUACCCCAUCCAGCUUCGAAGAUGUACUUGUUACCAGGCCCUUUGAGACACCCUGGGUGCUCUGCCCUCAGCAGCCCGCCUCCAGCCCCCCUCUGAAGGCUGUGCAGCAUUUUGUGUUAGUUACAUGGUGUUUUCUCUCUCUCCGUCCUUUCUCUUCCUCUUUUAAAAAUGGAUUUUCCCCGCUUAUCCUGGUCUUUUGGGGACAGUGCGCAGGGUCUGUGGAGCCCAGCGGGGGCCAUGUGGCCCGCCUCUUGCCUGGCUGGGCUGGGAGGAGGGCCGGAGAAGCUGUGCCCCCCGGGAGGGGCACUGUGCUGGGGGAGGGGGGCUGGGGAGACGGGCCGGCUUCCUUGGGCUGUCCUGAAGCGCAGGCCCAGAGGCUGGGCAGCUUUGGUGGAGAGGCUCCAGAGGGGAGUUCAGCGCCUCUGAGGCCAGCGGCUGGAGGCUAUUGCCUGCUGUUCAGCGCCAUGGGAGGGUGGGGGCACCUUUUGAGACCCCUAGCCAUUCUUUGGUGUGCUAGGGAGCUUCAGGGCUGACAUAAUGCCAGAUGUGGCCAGGGUGACUUUAGCAGGCCUGCCUCUCAUUUUCACCUCAUGCAUUUUUGGCAGUGUUGAUUGUGCCAGUCGUUAAAUUAUGUUUGCGGCUUUGCUUUUCUGUAAAACCUUGGGGUUUUUUGCUCUGCCUUUACUUUCCUGGUGCAUCUUUGAAUCUUUGAAUACCAGUCGGUAACCGUGGACUGCAAGUAACACUGCGAAAACAAAACAAUAUGGGCCUGCCUGGGAGAAGAGGGGCCAUUGGAGGCCCAGCAAGGGCCUUGGUCCCACUCCCUCCACAGCGCCGCCCCCCACUCACCAUUCACCACAGUUAUUCUCUGGUGGCCAGAAAGUUGAAUUUAGAAGCCUUCCAUCCGGAUGUAGUUCAGUGGUACAGACUGAAGGAGCCCCGGUGUGCUAGGUACUGUGGGGGAACCCUAGUGAGCUGGAACUGGUUAUGCCUUUGAGUGAUUCACAUUCUAGAUGUGAAAACAAGGCUUCCAGUGCAUAUGCAGUUAAGGCAGUACAAGGGCCAAAUGCAGAAUGUAACCACAUUUUUCUGAUCACCAAUGUAACACAGGGUUGUUGAAGAUAAUUUCAAACAUGAAAAGAAACAUACAGUGUAGAAAGUCCCCCACAGUCUGACUCUUACCUCAAAUAGCCAUUGUUAUCUGUUACUGUUUGAGGAGGUAAAAUUUGAGCUGACCAUCAGGUAAAAUCUGGAGAGGUGGACUGACAGAAGGAGAGCUCUGAUCUCCUCCAGGGAGGUGCACUCCACCGGCUUCCUGGCAAGUGCUGAGCCGGCUUCUGCUUGGACACCUUGGUGACACGGGGCCAGCAUGCCCAAGUAGGAACUAACCAGUGCUCAGUCCCACCUUGUGUCUGGGUGCUAGUGUGUUGGGUACCAUACAGAUGUUAUUGAAUCCCCAUCACAACCUGAUAAAACCAGGUAACUUAUCCUUGUUUUACAAGUAGGAACACGGAGACUCAGAGGUUACCUGCCAGGUAUGUGGAAGUUCCCAGGCUAGGGGUCGAAUCAGAGCUGUAGCUGCUGGCCUACCCCACAGCAACACGGGAUCCAAGCCCUGUCUGUGACCUACACCACUGCUCACGGCAGUGUCGGAUCCUUAACCCACUGAUUGGGGCCAGGGAUUGAACCUGCAUCCUCAUGGAUACUAGUCGGGUUAGUUACCUCUGAGCCACAAUGGCAACUCCUCUUACACCUCGUUUUCUCUCUUGUUCUAACAUGAUCCACAUCAUCUCUGCACUCACAUUAAUUCUGUAGACGGCCUCUCUGUCGUCCCUGCCGUCCCUCAUACUUCCUUACAUUUCCUCCCUCUGCUUCCACUCCUUCCCUGCUCUUCAUCCUUGCUCCACCAUGUCUCUCAUCCCCCUGCUUUCCAUUCUCUUACCUAACCCCCCAUGUCCUCAUUACCUGUCUCCUGUCUGUUGUGGCAGCCGUCUGACUCGCCUCCUUGCUGCUGGUCUCAUUCAUUCAUAUACCAGGAUAGUUUCUCAAAGUACACUUCUCAACAUGCCACAUCUCUGUGCUAAACAUAAAAAAAUAAAUGUUCACGGGAGUUCCCAUUGUGGUGCAUUGGCAUCUGUGGUGUCUUGGGAGCACUGGGACACAGUUUCCAUUCUUGCCAGGCACAAUGGGUUAAGGAUCCAGUGUUGCUGCAGCUGCCGCUUAGGUCAAAACUGGCUCAGACCUGAUCUGAUCCCUGGCUGGGGAAAUCCAUAUGCCGCAGGGCGGCCAACAAAUAAAUAAAAUGUUCUUGGAGUUCCCUGAUAGCCUAUCGGUUAAGGAUCAGUAUUGUCACUGCUGGAG